RNAcentral lists this ribosomal RNA (443 nucleotides) under uncultured bacterium. RNAcentral's name for it is "partial 16S ribosomal RNA". It matches the Rfam family "Bacterial small subunit ribosomal RNA", at positions 338 to 795 of the family's 1533-position model. The record is from RNAcentral.
CCUACGGGGUGCAGCAGUGGGGAAUAUUGGGCAAUGGGCGCAAGCCUGACCCAGCAACGCCGCGUGAAGGAAGAAGGCCCUCGGGUUGUAAACUUCUUUUAUUCGGGACGAAACAAAUGACGGUACCGAAUGAAUAAGCCACGGCUAACUACGUGCCAGCAGCCGCGGUAAUACGUAGGUGGCAAGCGUUAUCCGGAUUUACUGGGUGUAAAGGGCGUGUAGGCGGGAGAGCAAGCGAGACGUGAAAUUCCAGGGCUCAACCCUGGGACUGCGUUAGAAACUGUGUGUCUUGAGUGCUGGAGAGGAAGGCGGAAUUCCGAGUGUAGCGGUGAAAUGCGUAGAUAUAAGGAGGAACACCAGUGGCGAAGGCGGCCUGCUGGACAGUAACUGACGCUGAGGCGCGAAAGCGUGGGGAGCGAACAGGAUUAGAUACCCUGGUAGUC